CAUAAUAACCUUAUUUUUUUUCCGUUUUCAACGUUUGACUAUUCGUUUUAUUUGAAAUUUUUUUUUACGAUUAAUAUUUUUAUUAUUACUAGAUAAUAAAAUAUGAAUAGUAUUUUAUAUGUGACUAAUUUUUUUAAGUUUUUUAUAAAUUUUUUAAAUAAGGCGAAUGGUUAAACGUUGAACACGAAAAA
Molecule: microRNA precursor, 191 nt
Filed under: Oryza brachyantha (malo sina)
Lineage: Eukaryota; Viridiplantae; Streptophyta; Magnoliopsida; Poales; Poaceae
Description: MIR812 microRNA precursor family
Rfam family: MIR812 microRNA precursor family
Source: Rfam by way of RNAcentral